UUGUGCUAUUGUGGUUCGACUCGGACGACACUGAUAAGUCGGGGUUUGAUGGGCGUCGGACGGGCACGGGACGCCGGGGCGACAGGCCCGCCAAAGCAACAAAGGUACGUAAACAUGGGGUGAAGAGUGGGGGGCCGAAGCCCCCGGGGUCCGGAAACCCCUCUCAGUAAUGAUCCUUCCGCAGGUUCACCUACGGAAA
Molecule: unclassified non-coding RNA, 199 nt
Filed under: uncultured fungus
Lineage: Eukaryota; Fungi
Description: sequence contains ITS1
Source: RNAcentral